This 522-nucleotide long non-coding RNA is filed under the name Brachypodium distachyon (stiff brome). RNAcentral's name for it is "long non-coding RNA (BDIS_LNC001162)". Lineage: Eukaryota; Viridiplantae; Streptophyta; Magnoliopsida; Poales; Poaceae. The record is from RNAcentral.
UAUGGGUAUAUAAGUAGGCCCCCGCGGCUUACAACGUCAGGAAUCUUAGUCUGAAUAAAUAGUACCACCUUUUCUAUUGGCAGUCCUUUACCCGAAAAAUUGUACUACCGACAAGCACACUACCGGACGAGCAAACGGGUCGAUCGCCGGCACCAAAAUUAAUUCCAAUUAAUUAACCCACAACACGAUAUCAAAGGUACUGUAAUCACAUGCAUGUGCCGCCAUGAAAUUGUAGAAUCAAAGGUACGGAAAGAGUUCCGACGUUUGGCUCCGGGUGCAUUGUCUGUCUCCCUAUAUCAUAAAAAAGAAAAGAAAUCCGGGUGCAUUGUCUGUCUCCCUAUAUUGUAAAAAAGAAAAGAAAUGGUCGAGUGCUAUUUUUCUUAAAACAAUAAGUUCAUUAAAAAAAAAGUCUAGAUGUGUAAGCAUAUGUCUGCUGCAUGCAGAGCUGUGAAGUUUCCUUAAUAAAUAUGUGCAUUUCUGUGCUACACAGAAAAUAACAAAUGUGAUAUUUUACAAGGGUGU